This 774-nucleotide ribosomal RNA is filed under the name uncultured Neocallimastigales. RNAcentral's name for it is "partial large subunit ribosomal RNA". It matches the Rfam family "Eukaryotic large subunit ribosomal RNA", at positions 26 to 647 of the family's 3401-position model. Lineage: Eukaryota; Fungi; Neocallimastigomycota; Neocallimastigomycetes; Neocallimastigales. The record is from RNAcentral.
CGCAUCUGUGCAUGCAGCAUAUCAAUAAGCGGAGGAAAAGAAACUAACAAGGAUUCCCUUAGUAACGGCGAGUGAAGCGGGAAGAGCUCAAAUUUGAAAUCUUAAAGGGUUUCCCUUUACGAAUUGUAGUUUAAAGAAGUGUUUUCCGUUGAGGUUUUGGUAAAAGUUCUUUGGAAUAGGACAUCAUAGAGGGUGAGAAUCCCGUAUUUGACCUUUACUUUCAACUUUGUGAUACACUUUCAAAGAGUCGGAUUGUUUGGGAAUGCAGUCCAAAAUGGGUGGUAAAUUUCAUCUAAAGCUAAAUAUUGGCGAGAGACCGAUAGCGAACAAGUACCGUGAGGGAAAGAUGAAAAGAACUUUGAAAAGAGAGUUAAACAGUACGUGAAAUUGUCAAAAGGGAAGCGUUUGACACCAGUGUUGUUUUUCUGAAAAUCAAUUAAAGAACUGUUUAUGCUAAGUUGUUUAGACUUUAUCAGCUAUCUGCUUAGUUUUGAGCUUUUCUUUAAUGCACUUUUCAGUUAACAAGUCAACAUCAAUUUCUUUUGCUGUAAAAAAGCUUGAGGAAGGUGGCUUGAGAUUCGUCUUAAGUGUUUAUAGCCUCUUGCCUAUGCAGUCGGAGAGAUUGAGGUCUGCAGCGUAGAUCCUUCGGGGCUAAAUGCAUUUGUGCUAAGUUAUAGCAUUUUAUAGACAACUUGUUGACUAUGAUUUGUCUUGUAGCUUACUCGCUUAUGUUAUUUUACCUACGCUUAGGAUGUUGACGAGACUGUCGAUCUC